This 253-nucleotide ribosomal RNA is filed under the name uncultured bacterium. Its description in RNAcentral is "partial 16S ribosomal RNA". It matches the Rfam family "Bacterial small subunit ribosomal RNA", at positions 524 to 776 of the family's 1533-position model. The record is from RNAcentral.
UACGUAGGGACCAAGCGUUGUUCGGAUUUACUGGGCGUAAAGGGCGCGUAGGCGGCGUGGUAAGUCACUUGUGAAAUCUCUGAGCUUAACUCAGAACGGCCAAGUGAUACUGCUGUGCUAGAGUGCAGAAGGGGCAAUCGGAAUUCUUGGUGUAGCGGUGAAAUGCGUAGAUAUCAAGAGGAACACCUGAGGUGAAGACGGGUUGCUGGGCUGACACUGACGCUGAGGCGCGAAAGCCAGGGGAGCGAACGGG